Molecule: long non-coding RNA, 2036 nt
Organism: Triticum aestivum (bread wheat)
Lineage: Eukaryota; Viridiplantae; Streptophyta; Magnoliopsida; Poales; Poaceae
Exons: 3
Source: RefSeq, a predicted model, not a curated record
GGUAUGGCCAUAGCAGCGCCCCCUUUCCAUCGUAGAACAACCACGCGGACGGCCGCCGUGCAACACUCCUCACCCUCGCCUCUGGCAUAGCCGCCGGGAUGCAAUUGCCUGCCUGGCCUUCCUACUACAACAACUCCCAGGAUGCAACCGCCGUGCAGCACUCCUCACUGUCAAUGCCGUCCACGGCGACCAUAGCCACUCCCUCACGCAUUGAAGAGGAUGUUCCUCCGUCGCUUCCCUUGCCAUCGAAGUUAUCGUUUCGUCGCCGUCCAUUUCCGCAUGGUCUGCAUCCUCACAGCUCCCUUUCCUCUCCUGCAAGAACCUAAGAUCUGAAGAUGUCACUGCAACUACAAGUGAAAGGAUCCAAGAUCCUCACCAACAUACUUGCUUGAUGCUUUACAAUUACUGCUACGCUUGUAGAUAUAUAGAUAUACUUGGCUUGAAGUUGAAUUUCUACUAGUGUUGUUGGCUUGUUGCUGUACUCUUCCAUGGGUAUUGUCCAAUAGUAAUAUUCCAUGGGUAAUGUUCAAUAGCAUUCAUGGAACAGGAAAGAAUGCUAUUUAUAAAAUUAACUUACCAGGAUACUGAAGAUGUCUUGCUUGUGCUGCACAUACACUGGUAGUUUGUUUCUUUCUGUAACUGAAACGUUGAGUUUACUGAAUCUUGUGUCUUUCUGUAACUGAAACGUUGCGUUUACUGAAUCUCGUUUCUUUCUGUACACUGGCUAGUGAUCCUCGGCUGUACAUGUACUGCAGUAGUUUGUGUCUUUCUAUGACUGAGAGAAGUAGACAAACAUCAUCGGCUGCACUAAAUAGUGUUAUUUCGUACGAAUGUAUUGAUGUUUCCCUGUCAAGUUGCCCUAUGUGGGUGUAUGCCAUGGCCAGGGACUGGUGUCAACUGACACAAGUCAUAUCUUGCAAUUUCUUCAUAAAUUUGUGUUAAUUACUGUCCAUAUACGUAUGCUGACCCCUUUGCAAUGAAGGCUGACACUAUAGUAGUUUUUGUCUAGCUUCGUCCCUGGCCAUGGCGGCUGCGACCACGACCACAACUCCUGUAUUUUUGUAUUUUGGAGUGUCCCACGUUUUGUGUAAAUAGUCCCAAGUUUUCUUUUUGACUAUGUAAAAUAUUACCAAGUUAAUAUCGGAACCACUGUCCUAUACUGAACCAUACUGCCACAUUCAGCGUAUUUGACCUUGGUAGUUUGCUUACCACAUUCAGGCUACAUUUGAUUUCAUUUAAUCUCUAAAGCCUAGCUUAUUUUUGCUUACAACAGCUUCAGUAUAGACUUGAAUAGAUAUUUUUCUGGUCACUUUUUUAUGCCUGCUUUAAGUACCCCAUUUCUUCUGAAAUUGACUGAAAUUAUGAUAUUACUUAUAGAAGGGCACGGUGAUGAAUUCAACGCAAGAUCCUGCUAAUAGCAGACCGAGUACAAUACACGGCAACUUGAUAAUAAUAUUUAUGUUCACUUCGAUAGCUAGGGACGCGUCAGGUAAUGUGCACGCUUCAGAGGAAAGAGAUGAUGCACAUUACUCCUUUCUGCAAGGUACACAACAUCCUUAAUUCUUAAUGACUUAUCUGAAUGGUGCAUAUUGAUAAUGCUAAGUCCCUUAAUUGUUUUUGUGUUCAGUAAAGAAAGGAUUUGCUCCGUAACAAGGAUGGAAAGUAUUUGCCAAAAAAAAACAAGGAUGGAAAGUAUAACAGCUUACAAAAACCAACGUGGACAACACAGAUCUGGAACUCGAGUAAAUCAUACUCACAAAUAAGUUUUUGAGAAGAGAGACUUGGAAACCAGAGAAGAGGAGCGAAGAUCAAGACUAGAAUUUGAAAAAAAAAACAUGAUGGCAAAGUUUACAAAAUUGAGCCAACAGAUGGGAACCCAACAGAUGAUUACAUUCAUAUGCUUGCGACCUUGUAAGAUUUAUGUUGCUUAAUUGCAUUGCUAAAAGUGCACUUCUAUUUUCAGGUGCUAACGAAGAGGAUUAACAAAGAAAAUAGUAUCCAAACUUGCAAAAUACUCUUUUACAUAGAUCUACUCC